RNAcentral lists this ribosomal RNA (482 nucleotides) under uncultured bacterium. RNAcentral describes it as "partial 16S ribosomal RNA". It matches the Rfam family "Bacterial small subunit ribosomal RNA", at positions 30 to 507 of the family's 1533-position model. The record is from RNAcentral.
AUUGAACGCUGGCGGCAUGCCUUACACAUGCAAGUCGAACGGUAACAGGUCUUCGGAUGCUGACGAGUGGCGAACGGGUGCGUAAUACAUCGGAACGUGCCCGAUCGUGGGGGAUAACGAGGCGAAAGCUUUGCUAAUACCGCAUACGAUCUACGGAUGAAAGCGGGGGAUCUUCGGACCUCGCGCGGACGGAGCGGCCGAUGGCAGAUUAGGUAGUUGGUGGGAUAAAAGCUUACCAAGCCGACGAUCUGUAGCUGGUCUGAGAGGAUGAUCAGCCACACUGGGACUGAGACACGGCCCAGACUCCUACGGGAGGCAGCAGUGGGGAAUUUUGGACAAUGGGCGAAAGCCUGAUCCAGCCAUGCCGCGUGCAGGAUGAAGGCCUUUGGGUUGUAAACUGCUUUUGUACGGAACGAAAAGCCUCUUUCUAAUAAAGAGGGGUCAUGACGGUACCGUAAGAAUAAGCACCGGCUAACUACGUG